GUAUACCUGUUUCUCAAAUUGGUGUUGGUUCUACCGGUUGCCACACCUAAUGUUGAAAGGGUAUUUUCCCCGAUGAAGCUACUGAAGAACAAGUUGAGAAAUGGUAUGGGUGGUCAAUUAUUAAAUGAUUGUUUGGUCACGUAUAUUGAGUGA
RNAcentral lists this ribosomal RNA (153 nucleotides) under Triticum aestivum (bread wheat). RNAcentral's name for it is "partial small subunit ribosomal RNA". Lineage: Eukaryota; Viridiplantae; Streptophyta; Magnoliopsida; Poales; Poaceae. The record is from RNAcentral.